UCACUUGCGUGCAGAUGAUGGAAUUUAUAUUCAAAGAACAUGGAGGAUGACAGUUCUGUGGGGUAAUUCACAUUGAAAUGACUAUUCUGGAGAGAAUGAGCCUGCUGGGGAAAGACUU
Molecule: long non-coding RNA, 118 nt
Organism: Sinocyclocheilus anshuiensis
Lineage: Eukaryota; Metazoa; Chordata; Actinopteri; Cypriniformes; Cyprinidae
Exons: 2
Source: RefSeq, a predicted model, not a curated record